UUCGUUGAGCGGUUGCUAUGGCGACAGAGACGCAAGUCCGUCAUCAGCCUCAGCCAGCUGCGUCAGAGGAGGAGACGGCGGUUCCUGUUUCUGAGAAAGCAGCGCGCGCGCGCGCGAGGUGUGGAGCUCGUCCGCCUCUUAGCCUACUUCUCUCCAUUAACCGCAGCCCUCCUGUACGUUUACGGCUCCAUUGUUUGCCGCGCAUAUCGCAGUGUUUAUCUUUCCGCGGCAGCCGCGCCGCUCCUCGCUCUGCAAAUCCUCACUCGUCACGCCCACGCGCUCCACUCCCUCACCUGUCUCUACCUCUGCGCGCCACGGUUACAGUUGUCAUGGCGACACAACAGCGGUCAGCUUCUUGAAGUGGAGAGCGAAGGUCUCGGCCACGAUCAGAGGAAACACCAAAGAGGCAUCUGCGUACACCUGACGAGCCACACAAGAGAGAUGUGAUGAGAAUCUAAAAACCCAUUCAAGGGUCUUCCAGAGACUGAUUACUGAGGGGAAAUGGCACCAUCUUGUGGCCAAAACAGGAAUUACAGUGAGGUUUGGCAUCCGCUCUGAUCUUGCCCCAUGAUAUGGCUUCAUCAGGUCGAGCCCCAGAGUCAGAGCCGUCAAACUCCUGGCCGGUGUUCACGUACACCGCAAAGUCUGCUCCAUUCCUCUAGAGUGGAUCCACAAAGAGAGAAUUCAUUUAGCUUCAUUAAAGUAGAUCUGGAUAAGAAAACUA
Long non-coding RNA from Oryzias melastigma (Indian medaka), 724 nucleotides. RefSeq lists it as uncharacterized. NCBI's taxonomy places the organism in Eukaryota, Metazoa, Chordata, Actinopteri, Beloniformes, Adrianichthyidae. The record is from RefSeq and is a predicted model, not a curated record. The transcript is spliced from 3 exons.